AUGCUGAGCAGCAUGCGAUUCUUCGCCCGCCCCCUCAUGGAGCACCAAAUCGCCGACAGGUUCGACUACCUCGAAGACGACGUCUCCCGCCCAGCCUACCACCAUCUGGAAUUGCUGGAUCACCGCAACGGCCUGCUCUUGCUCAGGGACUGGGUGGUUAACCCGGCGACCCGGCAGUGCGUGCCCUUGCCCCCGCCGCCGCCUCCACGCGCGGGGAUGGAAGCUUUCCUUGACACCAGAUACCUUGUGUUUGAUCCCGCUGUAUCGCCGCACUACCAUGUGUUUUCGAUCCCUAGAGUCUCGCGCAGAACUGGUGAGCUAACCAAAUUCACCGUGUUCUCCUCGACAACACGGAGGUGGGAGGAGAGGUCUUUUGUUCGACAAGAAGGAGAAGCGGCCACACGGACUACCAUAGCCGACAUCAACUACUCUCCUCGGAAGCACCGCUAUGCUGUCUACUGGCGGGAUGCGCUUUAUGUGCAUUCCCAAGACGAUUCCAUUAUACGCAUAACCUUGUCCACCCAUAAGUACCAAGUGAUUCCAUCUCCAAUAGGACGUCAAGUGACAUAUCUAGAAUCUCUCUACUUGGGGAAAUCCAUCAAUGGCGUCUACUGUGCACUAAUCUUUAAUUUGGAGGAACGGCUACGGAUUUGGCUACUUAAUGAUGAUGAGGUACGCGGUCAAACAAAAUGGGUGCUCAAGAAUGACGUGAGCAUUCAGCCACUCGUGGGAAUAACACAUCAACACUUUGGCCUUCAAAACAAUGGACUUUGGACUUUGCAAAACACCCUUGUUGAACCGAUGGCGGAGCAGAAAUUUGAAUGGGAUCCUGACAGCGGCAUUAUCCUUGAAGCUGAGGCUAAGGCUCCAAUAGAUCACUUUCAUGAUGAUAUUCGUACCCUAGGAUUUCAUCCUUACAAGGAGAUUCUCUUCUUAUGGACAAAUUGCAAAAGAGUAGUAGCUUACCAUUUGAACAGUUCCAAGGCUCAAGACGUGGGAAAGUUACCCGUACCAUCGAUAGAAACGUCUUUUGUAUACACACCCUUGUUGGAUGGGGAAAUAUUAGGAAAAUAG
This 1074-nucleotide ribosomal RNA is filed under the name Triticum aestivum (bread wheat). RNAcentral describes it as "partial small subunit ribosomal RNA". Lineage: Eukaryota; Viridiplantae; Streptophyta; Magnoliopsida; Poales; Poaceae. The record is from RNAcentral.